ACCCUUUCAACCGGCGGGGCCGCUCUCUAUAUUAAGGGGGUCGACGGGAAACCGCCGACUAUGGCGAUAAACGCCUCACGGAAUAGACGUGACGGACCCGGGGGCAGUGCCCGGCGCCUCCACCAAACCAAUCGGGCGCGACGUUGCGCGCCGACCAUGGGGGCGAUACAGGCUCGACGUCCGUGAUAAAGGUGCGGUUUUUGCCCGGUAUGGUUCCGCCGUUAUCGGGCCGUAUGACAAGUGCCAACGACAACGAGAUGGCACUCGCUGCCUAAUUAGGUAAGCGCGGUUCGGGGGGCACCGGGCAACAGAAGCCCCCCACU
RNAcentral lists this transfer-messenger RNA (323 nucleotides) under Alphaproteobacteria bacterium. It matches the Rfam family "Alphaproteobacteria transfer-messenger RNA". From Rfam's summary of the family: Bacterial tmRNA, also known as 10Sa RNA or SsrA, is named for its dual tRNA and mRNA-like properties. Its role is to liberate the mRNA from a stalled ribosome. The record is from RNAcentral. Lineage: Bacteria; Pseudomonadati; Pseudomonadota; Alphaproteobacteria.